RNAcentral lists this ribosomal RNA (301 nucleotides) under uncultured bacterium. Its description in RNAcentral is "partial 16S ribosomal RNA". It matches the Rfam family "Bacterial small subunit ribosomal RNA", at positions 509 to 807 of the family's 1533-position model. The record is from RNAcentral.
CAGUCGCCGCGGGAAUACGGAGGGGGCUAGCGUUGUUCGGAAUUACUGGGCGUAAAGCGCACGUAGGCGGCUUGGUAAGUUAGAGGUGAAAGCCUGGAGCUCAACUCCAGAAUUGCCUUUAAGACUGCCGAGCUAGCAGGUGAGAGAGGUAAGUGGAAUUCCGGGUGUAGAGGUGAAAUUCGUAGAUAUUCGGAAGAACACCAGUGGCGAAGGCGGCUUACUGGCUCAUACUGGACGCUGAGGUGCGAAAGCGUGGGGAGCAAACAGGAUUAGAUACCCCUGUAGUCCCUGUCUCUUAUAC